RNAcentral lists this ribosomal RNA (586 nucleotides) under uncultured bacterium. Its description in RNAcentral is "bacterial SSU rRNA". It matches the Rfam family "Bacterial small subunit ribosomal RNA", at positions 20 to 583 of the family's 1533-position model. The record is from RNAcentral.
UGGCUCAGGACGAACGCUGGCGGCGUGCCUUACACAUGCAAGUCGUGCGGGGAAGAUUUCCUGUGGCAACACAGGGGUCUUCUUAGCGGCAAACGGGUGAGUAAUGGAUGAGUAACCUGCCCUGUAGAUGGGAUAGCCAUCCGAAAGGAUGGGUAAUACCCAAUAAUGUUGGAGGACUUCGGUUCUCCAAAGAAAGGUGGCGCAAGCUACCGCUUCAGGAUGGGCUCAUCUCCUAUCAGCUAGUUGGUGAGGUAAUGGCUCACCAAGGCUAUGACGGGUAGCUGGCCUGAGAGGGUGGUCAGCCACAUUGGGACUGAGACACGGCCCAGACUCCUACGGGAGGCAGCAGUGGGGAAUCUUGGUCAAUGGGCGAAAGCCUGAACCAGCGACGCCGCGUGGAGGACGAAGGCCGAAAGGUCGUAAACUCCUUUUGCAAGGGAAAAAGGGAAGGGUUCGAAUAGGACCCCAUCCUUGAUUGUACCUUGCGAAUAAGCCCCAGCCAACUACGUGCCAGCAGCUGCGGUAAAACGUAGGGGGCGAGCGUUAUCCGGAAUCACUGGGUGUAAAGGGUACGCAGGCGGAUUUG